This 253-nucleotide ribosomal RNA is filed under the name uncultured microorganism. Its description in RNAcentral is "partial 16S ribosomal RNA". It matches the Rfam family "Bacterial small subunit ribosomal RNA", at positions 524 to 776 of the family's 1533-position model. The record is from RNAcentral.
UACGGAGGAUGCGAGCGUUAUCCGGAAUUACUGGGCUUAAAGGGUGCGCAGGCGGUUGGUUAAGUCAGGGGUGAAAGCCCUAUGCUCAACAUAGAGAUUGCCUUUGAUACUGAACGGCUAGAGUGAAGAUGGAGUGGGUGGAAUGCCCUGUGUAGCGGUGAAAUGCAUAGAUAUAACACAGAACACCGAUCGCGAAGGCAGCUCACUAAUUUUCAACUGACGCUCAUGCACGAAAGCGUGGGGAUCAAACAGG